AACCCAAAUUAAUAAAUACCGGCGUAAAGCGUGUUUAAGUAAUUCACAAGAAUAAAGUUAAUAAUUGACUAAACUGUAGCACGUUCUAGUUAAUAUUAAAAUACACAAUAAAAAUGACUUUAAUAUCACCUACUACACGACAACUAAGACACAAACUGGGAUUAGAUACCCCACUAUGCUUAGUAAUAAACUAAAAUAAUUUAUUAAACAAAAUUAUUCGCCAGAGAACUACUAGCUAUUGCUUAAAACUCAAAGGACUUGGCGGUGCCCUAAACCCACCUAGAGGAGCCUGUUCUAUAAUCGAUAAACCCCGAUAAACCCGACCUUAUCUUGCCAAUA
Molecule: ribosomal RNA, 339 nt
Filed under: Didelphis marsupialis (southern opossum)
Lineage: Eukaryota; Metazoa; Chordata; Mammalia; Didelphimorphia; Didelphidae
Description: partial 12S ribosomal RNA
Source: RNAcentral